AAGUCGUAACAAGGUAACCGUAGGUGAACCUGCGGUUGGAUCAUUAAAAAAAAAAUAAUCCAAUUUUUAAGGUUAUUUUCAAUUUUGAUUGUUUUUUUUUUUUAAAACAUGAAAAAAAGAAAAUCUCCUUAAUUUUUACACACCUAUGUGAACAUUUUAAAUGUUUUUUUGGUAGUUUUUUUAAUAAUUAAUUUUAUUUUUUUUGGGUUGUUGUUUUAUUAUUAUAAUCCAAAAAGAACAAAAAAAAAGAUUUUUAAAACUGCCAAAAUGUUAUAUUAAACCCCAUUAUUUUUUUUUUGAACUGAUUUCUUUUUUAUUCUUUUGAAUCUUUAAAAUUUUUUUUAAAGUGAAAAAAGUCUCAAAUGAAAAAAACAACUUUUGACAACGGAUCUCUUGGUUCUC
Molecule: unclassified non-coding RNA, 402 nt
Filed under: fungal sp.
Lineage: Eukaryota; Fungi
Description: partial internal transcribed spacer region
Rfam family: Eukaryotic small subunit ribosomal RNA (bases 1-46)
Source: RNAcentral